GCUUGCUGCAUGCUUUAUACAUGCAAGUCGAACGAAGGCCCUAGCUUGCUAGGUGUCCUUAGUGGCGCACGGGUGAGUAACACGUGGGAACAUACCUUAUAGUACGGAAUAACUGCGGGAAACUGUAGCUAAUACCGUAUAUUCCAGUAAUGGGAAAGAUUUAUCGCUAUAAGAUUGGCCCGCGCAAGAUUAGUUUGUUGGUGAGGUAAGAGCUCACCAAGGCUUCGAUCUUUAGCUGGUUUGAGAGGACGAUCAGCCACACUGGGACUGAGACACGGCCCAGACUCCUACGGGAGGCAGCAGUAGGGAAUAUUGGACAAUGGGGGCAACCCUGAUCCAGCAAUGCAGCGUGAGUGACGAAGGCCUUAGGGUUGUAAAACUCUUUCAUCGGUGAGGAUAAUGACAGUAGCCGAAGAAGAAGGACCGGCUAAUUCCGUGCCAGCAGCCGCGGUAAUACGGAAGGUCCUAGCGUUGUUCGGAAUUACUGGGCGUAAAGCGCAUGUAGGCGGAACAGAAAGUUAGAAGUGAAAUCCCUGGGCUCAACCUAGGAAUUGCUUUUAAAACUUCUGUUCUGGAAUUCAGGAGAGGAAAAUGGAAUUUCCAGUGUAGAGGUGAAAUUCGUAGAUAUUGGAAGGAACACCAGUGGCGAAGGCGAUUUUCUGGACUGAUAUUGACGCUGAGAUGCGAAGGCAUGGGUAGCAAACGGGAUUAGAUACCCCGGUAGUCCAUGCAGUAAACGAUGGGUGCUAGUCGUCGGACUUUUGUUCGGUGUCGUAGCUAACGCGUUAAGCACCCCGCCUGGGGAGUACGGUC
Molecule: ribosomal RNA, 813 nt
Filed under: uncultured Alphaproteobacteria bacterium
Lineage: Bacteria; Pseudomonadati; Pseudomonadota; Alphaproteobacteria
Description: bacterial SSU rRNA
Rfam family: Bacterial small subunit ribosomal RNA
Source: RNAcentral